AACGAGCGCUGGCGGCAGGCCUAACACAUGCAAGUCGAGCGCCCUUUCGGGGGAGCGGCGGACGGGUGAGUAACGCGUGGGAAUAUGCCCUUCUCUACGGAAUAGCCUCGGGAAACUGAGAGUAAUACCGUAUACGCCCUUUGGGGGAAAGAUUUAUCGGGGAAGGAUUAGCCCGCGUUGGAUUAGGUAGUUGGUGGGGUAAUGGCCUACCAAGCCGACGAUCCAUAGCUGGUUUGAGAGGAUGAUCAGCCACACUGGGACUGAGACACGGCCCAGACUCCUACGGGAGGCAGCAGUGGGGAAUCUUAGACAAUGGGGGCAACCCUGAUCUAGCCAUGCCGCGUGAGUGAUGAAGGCCUUAGGGUUGUAAAGCUCUUUCAGCUGGGAAGAUAAUGACGGUACCAGCAGAAGAAGCCCCGGCUAACUCCGUG
RNAcentral lists this ribosomal RNA (431 nucleotides) under uncultured bacterium. Its description in RNAcentral is "partial 16S ribosomal RNA". It matches the Rfam family "Bacterial small subunit ribosomal RNA", at positions 29 to 507 of the family's 1533-position model. The record is from RNAcentral.